UAAACACAGCCACGUCCAUUCAGAUCUCCUU
Molecule: non-coding RNA, 31 nt
Filed under: Mus musculus (house mouse)
Lineage: Eukaryota; Metazoa; Chordata; Mammalia; Rodentia; Muridae
Source: RNAcentral